RNAcentral lists this ribosomal RNA (382 nucleotides) under Salmonella enterica. RNAcentral's name for it is "partial 23S ribosomal RNA". Lineage: Bacteria; Pseudomonadati; Pseudomonadota; Gammaproteobacteria; Enterobacterales; Enterobacteriaceae. The record is from RNAcentral.
CUGUCUGAAUAUGGGGGGACCAUCCUCCAAGGCUAAAUACUCCUGACUGACCGAUAGUGAACCAGUACCGUGAGGGAAAGGCGAAAAGAACCCCGGCGAGGGGAGUGAAAAAGAACCUGAAACCGUGUACGUACAAGCAGUGGGAGCACCCUUUGGGGUGUGACUGCGUACCUUUUGUAUAAUGGGUCAGCGACUUAUAUUCUGUAGCAAGGUUAACCGAAUAGGGGAGCCGGAGGGAAACCGAGUCUUAAYYGGGCGUUAAGUUGCAGGGUAUAGACCCGAAACCCGGUGAUCUAGCCAUGGGCAGGUUGAAGGUUGGGUAACACUAACUGGAGGACCGAACCGACUAAUGUUGAAAAAUUAGCGGAUGACCUGUGGCUGG